Molecule: long non-coding RNA, 2131 nt
Organism: Vespula vulgaris
Lineage: Eukaryota; Metazoa; Arthropoda; Insecta; Hymenoptera; Vespidae
Exons: 3
Source: RefSeq, a predicted model, not a curated record
CGCGCAGCUAUCUUACAGCACGAGACGGAGACGACGAAUGGACGGAUAGCAAAGGAAGGAAGGAAGAAAGGAGAGAGGAAGGAGGGGGGCGAGGAAAAGAGCGAGAGAGGGAGGACAGGAGGGGGAUAAUGGAAAGGAGGGAGUAAGGGAGGAAGAGAGGGAAAGCAUAGGGAUAGUAGUGGGGAGGAAGAGCGAUAAAGGGGAAGAGGGAAAGAGAGGAUUUGCGACGUUGCCGGCAUGCAGCCAGUGACGGCAAGCCGCUGCCGCGUAAUCGUAGUCGUAUUCGUAUUCCUAGAGCAAACACGAGGCCGCAGGAUCUCCGGCGGGCCGACGGCCAAUGGAGUGGGGUGGGGCGCGCGCGCACGAACGCGCGCGCGACCGACUCGAGUGCCGAGUCGUGACUAGGAGGAGGAUGAGAUGAGAAGGGUGAAAGGGAAGGGAAGAGUGAAAGGGAGGGGCAGAGGAAAGAGACUCGAGAAGAUCGCCGGGGAAGAGAGAAGGGCAAGACGGAAGGCGGCAACGGGUGGCACACGCAUCGCGAGCGUGGCUGUGGCUGCCUCCUCUCUUUUCGUGUGUACGUGUGUCUGUUUGUCUGCCUGAACGCGCGCGCAGCAGCGCGCACACGAGCGUCGUCGAACGCACGCACGCCCUGACGUACGCAUGCGCGAACAGAGCACUGUUGAGGAGUAGGAGUUGGAGGAGAAGUAAAAGGAAGAGGAAGGGGUCGAGGGAUAGGAGGAAAAGUGGUAGGGAUGAAAACAGGUUGACUCUCUCUCUCUCUCCCCCUCUAUUCCGCGCGCGCGCGCACACGCGAGGCAUCGUGCUGACCAUGCCAAAGAGUGGGAGGCAAUAGUGCUCUGUUAAAUCGUCAUGGUGGGAGAAAAUCACAGCGCAAGAGGAGGAGGAGAAGACGGAGGAGGUGGAAGGAAACAUCAACGACGAUCGGUGACGAUACGAGGAAUAAAGAGGGUUAAAUCGUGCAAUGUGUCAGACUAGUAUAGAGGGCGAACAACAAAUACGUCUCCAAUCCAGAACCCGCAUGCUCGAUCGGAAGAUUACCACACCUACUGUUGGUGCAUGCGCGAUCACGAGCCUUUUACCUGUCAUCCGUGAGUAAUAAUCUUGUAAAGGUACGCUGCACCGCGUGUGGAUUAUAUAGAAGGCUGCUGAAGGGGGUAGGGUGGGGUGUAGUCCAGGAGAAGAACGAGGAGAAGGAGAAAGAAGAUAAAGAAGAAGAAGGAGGAGGAGGAGGAGGAGGAGAAGGAGAAGAAGGAGAAGAAGAAGAAGAAGAAGAAAGGAUCAACAACCUGCGGGCACUCCUCUCUCCUGGCUUGGAAGGUAGAAUUCUCCUCUGGCGAAAGCAAUGAACUAUGCUGACAACGGCAGAUCUAUCCGCGCCUUUACUCCGUACCUUUCCUAUGGCAUACACCGCACAUACCUAUAGACUAGGUAUUUCUACCAACCUUCCAUACCUAACGGUCGCACAAGAAACUUCAGCCAUUAUUGCGGUGAUUGCCGGUGGUACCUGUUAACGCGUAUCCACGCAGAUAUCCAUAGCUACUGCCACCACGAUCGGCAUCGUGGAUAGACAAGGUUAAUGCCACUCAAAGAGAGAGAGAGAGAGAGAGAGAGAGAGAGAGAGAGAGAGAGAGAGAGGAUCGAAAAGAUCCAAGCUACGUAAUAUCCUAGUUUAUCGACCACACCCAAUCAAAGAAAUCGAGAUCGGGCGUGAUUUUUAUAUUCUUAAGAAACGAACGUUUCAUACGUACGUGAGUAUUUCGAAAGAAUUGAAUCUAAAGGAAAGAUCGUUCGUACUUUGUUGUACUCACUUAUAUUGGAGAAUGGUAUUAACGAAGAAGGAAAUGUUCUAAUCCAAAUUUAUUUGAUAUUUUAAGACAGUUAUAAACGUUGGGAGAAUAAAAAUUAUAAUGAAGCAAAAUGAUUCUCUUUUCUUUAACAUCGAAUCGCCAUUUGUUAUCUAUCCUCUUAUUGGAGAUAGAAUUCCUCAGGUUCUUUGUAAAGGUUUUAUGGAUAAAGUUGCUUAUGAUAAAAUAAGUAAAAUAUUUUAUUAGAUGGUAAGUUAUAAUCUAUCGGCUAUGUUGGAUAUAAGGAAAGAAAGAAUCAACGAAGA